Molecule: ribosomal RNA, 253 nt
Filed under: uncultured bacterium
Lineage: Bacteria
Description: partial 16S ribosomal RNA
Rfam family: Bacterial small subunit ribosomal RNA
Source: RNAcentral
UACGUAGGUGGCAAGCGUUAUCCGGAAUUACUGGGUGUAAAGGGUGCGUAGGCGGGACAAUAAGUCAGAUGUGAAAUACCGAGGCUCAACCUCGGGGCUGCAUUUGAAACUGUAGUUCUUGAGUGCAGGAGAGGUAAGUGGAAUUCCUAGUGUAGCGGUGAAAUGCGUAGAUAUUAGGAGGAACACCAGUGGCGAAGGCGACUUACUGGACUGUAACUGACGCUGAGGCACGAAAGUGUGGGGAGCAAACAGG